CUUGACGAAGCCGGGAACGAUCUGUGAUCUCUCUACUUCUCUCUGCUUCUCUCUCGGACCUCCCACUCUUGUACUCUCGCAUCCUCCGUGCUACCUCUCUAGCUUUCUCCUAUAGCUUUAUUUUUCCUUUCUUGUAUUUUUCUACCUUUCUCUGCUUUCUUAGGAGGCCUUAGCUGCUUCCAUCAUAUACGCCUAAUUCAUUUUGCUUGAUGAAUGAAGCAUCUUUCUCAAAAAUAAAAAAAAAUAAAAAUCUUAAUUUUACUAUUUAAAAUUAUUUUAUCGUCUCUUUUAUGAGAAGAGUAAUGGUAACUGAGGCACAAAAUUUUAUACUCUAUUUCUUCAAAAAUCAUUAUUUUCACUAAUCUGAUCAUUUUUUUCCAUAAUGCAAUAAAUUCAAAAAACAUUAUAAACCUUC
Molecule: long non-coding RNA, 415 nt
Filed under: Ananas comosus (pineapple)
Lineage: Eukaryota; Viridiplantae; Streptophyta; Magnoliopsida; Poales; Bromeliaceae
Description: long non-coding RNA (ACOM_LNC015612)
Source: RNAcentral